Molecule: ribosomal RNA, 440 nt
Filed under: uncultured bacterium
Lineage: Bacteria
Description: partial 16S ribosomal RNA
Rfam family: Bacterial small subunit ribosomal RNA
Source: RNAcentral
CCUACGGGUGGCAGCAGUGAGGAAUAUUGCACAAUGGGGGAAACCCUGAUGCAGCGACGCCGCGUGAGUGAAGAAGUAUUUCGGUAUGUAAAGCUCUAUCAGCAGGGAAGAAAAUGACGGUACUUGAUUAAGAAGCCCUGGCCAAUUACGUGCCAGCAGCCGCGGUAAUACGUAGGGGGAAAGCGUUAUCCGGAUUUACUGGGUGAAAAGGGAGCGUAGACGGCAGCGCAAGUCUGAAGUGAAAUGCCGGGGCUUAACCCCGGAACUGCUUUGGAAACUGGGCAGCUAGAGUGCAGGAGAGGUAAGUGGAAUUCCUAGUGUAGCGGUGAAAUGCGUAGAUAUUAGGAGGAACACCAGUGGCGAAGGCGGCUUACUGGACUAUAACUGACGUUGAGGCUCGAAAGCGUGGGGAGCAAACAGGAUUAGAUACCCUUGUAGUC